CUACGAGGUGCUGCAGUGAGGAAUAUUGCACAAUGGGGGGAACCCUGAUGCAGCAACGCCGCGUGGAGGAUGACGCAUUUCGGUGUGUAAACUCCUUUUAUAUGUCAAGAAAAUGACGGUAGCAUAUGAAUAAGCACCGGCUAACUCCGUGCCAGCAGCCGCGGUAAUACGGAGGGUGCAAGCGUUACUCGGAAUCACUGGGCGUAAAGGACGCGUAGGCGGGGUGGAAAGUCAGGUGUGAAAUCCUACAGCUUAACUGUAGAACUGCACUUGAAACUUCUAAUCUAGAGUAUGGGAGGGGGAGGUGGAAUUAGUGGUGUAGGGGUAAAAUCCGUGGAUAUCACUAGGAAUACCUAAAGCGAAGGCGAUCUCCUGGAACAUUACUGACGCUAAGGCGUGAAAGCGUGGGGAGCAAACAGGAUUAGAUACCCUCGUAGUC
RNAcentral lists this ribosomal RNA (439 nucleotides) under uncultured bacterium. RNAcentral's name for it is "partial 16S ribosomal RNA". It matches the Rfam family "Bacterial small subunit ribosomal RNA", at positions 339 to 795 of the family's 1533-position model. The record is from RNAcentral.